GGGGUUGUAGUUUAAAAUAUAACAUUUAAUUUGCAAUUAAAAGAUACUAAAAAUUUAAGAAUAGUCUACCUCA
RNAcentral lists this transfer RNA (73 nucleotides) under Eurydema gebleri (shield bug). RNAcentral describes it as "tRNA-Ala". It matches the Rfam family "tRNA". Rfam says of the family: Transfer RNA (tRNA) molecules are approximately 80 nucleotides in length. The record is from RNAcentral. Lineage: Eukaryota; Metazoa; Arthropoda; Insecta; Hemiptera; Pentatomidae.